Molecule: ribosomal RNA, 885 nt
Filed under: uncultured Actinomycetes bacterium
Lineage: Bacteria; Bacillati; Actinomycetota; Actinomycetes
Description: bacterial SSU rRNA
Rfam family: Bacterial small subunit ribosomal RNA
Source: RNAcentral
GUUCGUCACGUCGGAUGUGAAAAUCUGGGGCUUAACCCCAGACCUGCAUUCGAUACGGGCGAGCUUGAGUAUGGUAGGGGAGUCUGGAAUUCCUGGUGUAGCGGUGGAAUGCGCAGAUAUCAGGAGGAACACCAAUGGCGAAGGCAGGACUCUGGGCCAUUACUGACACUGAGGAGCGAAAGCGUGGGGAGCGAACAGGAUUAGAUACCCUGGUAGUNCACGCCGUAAACGGUGGGCACUAGUUGUGGGGACCUUCCACGGUCUCUGCGACGCAGCUAACGCAUUAAGUACCCCGCCUGGGGAGUACGAUCGCAAGAUUAAAACUCAAAGGAAUUGACGGGGCCCCGCACAAGCAGCGGAGCAUGCGGCUUAAUUCGACGCAACGCGAAGAACCUUACCAAGGCUUGACAUAUACAGGAAUAUGGCAGAGAUGUCAUAGCCGCAAGGUCUGUAUACAGGUGGUGCAUGGUUGUCGUCAGCUCGUGUCGUGAGAUGUUGGGUUAAGUCCCGCAACGAGCGCAACCCCCGUUCUGUGUUGCCAGCAUUAAGUUGGGGACUCACAGGAGACUGCCGGGGUUAACUCGGAGGAAGGUGGGGAUGACGUCAAAUCAUCAUGCCCCUUAUGUCUUGGGCUGCACGCAUGCUACAAUGGCUGGUACAAACGGCUGCGAUACCGCAAGGUGGAGCGAAUCCGAUAAAGCCAGUCUCAGUUCGGAUUGGGGUCUGCAACUCGACCCCAUGAAGUCGGAGUUGCUAGUAAUCGUAGAUCAGCAACGCUACGGUGAAUACGUUCCCGGGGCUUGUACACACCGCCCGUCACGUCACGAAAGUCGGUAACACCCGAAGUCAGUGGCCCAACCGCAAGGAGGGAGCUGCCGAAGGUGG